This 211-nucleotide ribosomal RNA is filed under the name Capnodiales sp. Its description in RNAcentral is "partial large subunit ribosomal RNA". The record is from RNAcentral. Lineage: Eukaryota; Fungi; Ascomycota; Dothideomycetes; Capnodiales.
AAGCGCUUGCAACCAGACUUGCUUGCGGUGUUCCGCCGGUCUUCUGACCGGUCCACUCACCGUCCGCAGGCCAGCAUCGUCUGGGGCCGCCGGAUAAAGACGCGAGGAAUGUGGCUCCCCUCGGGGAGUGUUAUAGCCACGCGUGCAAUACGGCGCGACCCGGGCGAGGUCCGCGCUUCGGCUAGGAUGCUGGCGUAAUGGUCGUAAGCGG